Herbaspirillum sp. YR522 is the source of this 363-nucleotide non-coding RNA. It matches the Rfam family "transfer-messenger RNA". From Rfam's summary of the family: Bacterial tmRNA, also known as 10Sa RNA or SsrA, is named for its dual tRNA and mRNA-like properties. NCBI's taxonomy places the organism in Bacteria, Pseudomonadati, Pseudomonadota, Betaproteobacteria, Burkholderiales, Oxalobacteraceae. The record is from Rfam.
GGGGGCGACUUGGUUUCGACGUGGGUUGCAAAGCAGCGCAGGGCAUACCGAGGCCUGACUACCUCGUAAAUCCAAUCAGACAAGUAAUAACUGCUAACGAUAACUCGUACGCACAAGCGGCUUAAUCCCCGUUUGCUCUGCACUACUUCUUCCUUGGGGUAGGCUGGUAAAACAGCGGUAGAGUCAUUUACAAGGAAUCGCCUUGGGCCGGGUCACUUGGUUCGAGGUUAAAUUCAAGGUGACUCGCCUUGACGAAGCGUGCGCGUCCGCGUCGUCUGGGUUAAAACAAAUGGCAGCGCUAAGUAUGUAGAACUGUCUGUAGAGUGCUUGCGGACGCGGGUUCGAUUCCCGCCGCCUCCACCA